This 253-nucleotide ribosomal RNA is filed under the name uncultured bacterium. Its description in RNAcentral is "partial 16S ribosomal RNA". It matches the Rfam family "Bacterial small subunit ribosomal RNA", at positions 524 to 776 of the family's 1533-position model. The record is from RNAcentral.
CACGUAGGGGGCGAGCGUUAUCCGGAAUUACUGGGUGUAAAGGGAGCGUAGACGGCGAAGUAAGCCUGAAGUGGAAGCCCGCGGCCCAACCGCGGAACUGCUUUGGGAACUGCUUAGCUGGAGUAUGGGAGGGGUAAGCGGAAUUCCUGGUGUAGCGGUGAAAUGCGUAGAUAUCAGGAGGAACACCGGUGGCGAAGGCGGCUUACUGGACCAUGACUGACGUUGAGGCUCGAAAGCGUGGGGAGCGAACAGG